GCUGGGCAGGGUGGCAUGUGCCUGUAAUCCCAGCUACUUGGGAGGCUGAGGCAGGGAAUCAUUUGAACCCGGGACGUGGAGGUUGCAGUGAGCCAAGAUCAUGCUACUGCACUCCCGCCUGGGCAACAGAGUGAAAAUUUUUAUUUAUUUAUUUAUUUAUUUAUUUAUUUAUGUUUUUGAAACAGAGUUUCACUCUGUUGCCCAGGCUGGAGUGCAGUGGCAUGAUCUGGGCUCACUGCAACCUCUACCUCCUGGGUUCAAGCGAUUCUCCUGCCUCAG
This 279-nucleotide small RNA is filed under the name Macaca fascicularis (crab-eating macaque). RNAcentral describes it as "Metazoan signal recognition particle RNA (ENSMFAG00000064990.1)". Lineage: Eukaryota; Metazoa; Chordata; Mammalia; Primates; Cercopithecidae. The record is from RNAcentral.